This is a long non-coding RNA of Anser cygnoides (Swan goose), 1552 nucleotides long. Lineage: Eukaryota; Metazoa; Chordata; Aves; Anseriformes; Anatidae. The record is from Ensembl.
CUGCUAAAAAGAUUUUCCAGCUCUAUUGAAGAACAAAGUUCACACCUCCCUCAAUCACCGGUUCAAUCACAAUGGCUUACAGUUAGAGACCUUCAUCAUAAAGAAAAGGAGUAAGUUAAAAAGAAAGAAGCUUUAAAUAGGAAAAUGAAGUUUAUAUUCCUUGAAAAUAAUUAUUUACCAAAGUAAUGAGUAACAAUCAGUGGGAAUAUUUUCAGUAACUAAGAUAAAACAUAUUCACAUUUUUUUGAUGACUGGACUGUAUCUGUCCUGUGUAUUCGUUCAGCAUUACGGACUAUGAGGCAGCGGGACCUCUGAGUAAAUAAAGCAUUGAGGAUCAAGUUGGUGAAAUAAAGCUUACCUCCUACCUUUGUGAAAAUACAACUUACUUCUUUCCUGUUGCCUGAAAUAACACAAUAGCAAGCAAUCAAGUGUUACAGGGAGAGUAAUGAAAAUCGUUUAUUAGCAGGUAAGAGAUCACAUGUAAAGGCAGUUCUUUGCUGAGUGUGAGUCAAAAGAUGAGAAUUAUUUUUGUGUUAGCAUUUCAUUGUCAUACAUACAAAUCCACAUGCAAAGACCUUUCUGACACCAGUUUUUAACCUGAUGAAUUUUUUAAUUUCUUUGCAAAACUCCUGAGAGCAUUGCAGAUGGGCAGGUGGGUUACCCUUUGCUCAACAACAACAAAACCAGAUCCUCCUCCUAAAACUUAAGCUGUUGUUCCCUAUCACCUGUGCUAAGCAAGUUGAAUUUGUUGGAACAUAACUUAAAUGAGCUUCAGAUCACACCUGUUGGAGUGUUGGUGUAAUAGAAUGAUUUACAAUAGUUGAGGUGGUCUGAUGAGGUUUCUUUCCACACCCUUUUGUACUUAAUACCAGGCUGCUAAACUGUGGAUGAGAGACCUACAUUGAAAUCCUUUUUGCUGGAAAAGAAAAGAGGAAAUAAAGGGGGGUGGAAGCAAGGAUUUUGGUGGCUUUCUGAAGCAGAAAGAUUGCACAACCUUUAAUGGUAGCCAGGCAGGCAUUUCACAGGUUUUCUGAAGACCAGAACGAGUUUGUGACUGGGUACAAAGUAAAGUUGAGAUGUUUCAGAGUAUCCAAGUCCUGCUCAUCGUUGAAGAUGUUACAUGAGAGCGAUGUUCUUGAUGAUGUGCCUCUCACAAAACUGAUGAGCAUGUUCACAGCUCUUUCACUUAACAAUGGGACAUAUGGUAUGAUUUGCAUUUGUGAAUUUCUUUGCUAUUAGCUCUGGAACUAUUUUAACUUUCUUUCAAUGUAGUGUUUUGUCUUGAAACAUAAAGAAUUUAUUGGUGAAAGUACAGUAUUGGUGAAUGUAUUUUAGCAGCAUUUGUGUUUAAGACAACAGUAAAGGGCGAUGACAUGGUGCAGUACGUGUUCUUAGCUUGUUAAUGUAUAGUAGCUCUCUUGUGAAAAGUCAAAGCAACAAAUGUACAUAUUUGUACCUAUACAUCCAUUAUAUGUAUGGUAUACUACAUUGUGGGAUAGCUUUCAGUUCUUUUCAAGAAGUGAGAUAUGUUUUCUCUUUGGCUGUAACUCUG